CCACGCGCGCCGGGAGAGCGUGCCGGCUUGGUGCGACGAAUCACAAGCCGGUGCCGCCGAAGGGGCAACCCACAAACUCUCAGGCAAAAGGACCGUGCGCGCCG
Molecule: non-coding RNA, 104 nt
Filed under: Mycetohabitans rhizoxinica
Lineage: Bacteria; Pseudomonadati; Pseudomonadota; Betaproteobacteria; Burkholderiales; Burkholderiaceae
Description: Burkholderia rhizoxinica Glycine sequence
Rfam family: Glycine riboswitch aptamer
About the family: This family represents the bacterial glycine riboswitch. Glycine riboswitches usually consist of two metabolite-binding aptamers domains with similar structures in tandem.
Source: RNAcentral